AUGCAGUCCUUUACGUGCCAUUCCAUCGCAAGUAAAACUUCAGCGAGUCGAUCAUCUUCCGAUGGGUCGUUGGGUGAGGCCAGAGGUAUAAACACGUGAUUGCCAGACUUUAUAAUCGGCGAGUUCGACCACAACCAAUCGAGGCCGGGUAGCUAGUCCUAUGGAAAGCAGAGGUGAGCGAACCAACCCUCUCUCGAGGGAAAUUGGCGCCUCAAUGGGAGGGCCCCUACCGAAUAACACAGAAGGUCCGAGAAGGCAUCUACUGGUUGGCAACUAUGGAAAGCAAAACCUUACGCUAAACUUGGCAUGUCAGCAACGUGAAAAGAUUUUAUCCUUGUAGCAUCGCUCGGUCGGAAUAACAAACACACAAUGCCGAAAGCAAAAAAAAUUCUCAUUACUAUGCAGACUACGACCCGAGCCUAAGGCUCCAUACAAAAA
Musa acuminata subsp. malaccensis (wild Malaysian banana) is the source of this 438-nucleotide non-coding RNA. The record is from RefSeq and is a predicted model, not a curated record. Lineage: Eukaryota; Viridiplantae; Streptophyta; Magnoliopsida; Zingiberales; Musaceae.